AGCGGCGGAUGGGUGAGUAACACGUGGGGAACCUGCCCCUAAGUCUGGGAUACCAUUUGGAAACAGGUGCUAAUACCGGAUAAUAAAGCAGAUCGCAUGAUCAGCUUUUGAAAGGCGGCGUAAGCUGUCGCUAAGGGAUGGCCCCGCGGUGCAUUAGCUAGUUGGUAAGGUAACGGCUUACCAAGGCGACGAUGCAUAGCCGAGUUGAGAGACUGAUCGGUCACAUUGGGACUGAGACACGGCCCAAACUCCUACGGGAGGCAGCAGUAGGGAAUCUUCCACAAUGGACGCAAGUCUGAUGGAGCAACGCCGCGUGAGUGAAGAAGGUUUUCGGAUCGUAAAGCUCUGUUGUUGGUGAAGAAGGAUAGAGGUAGUAACUGGCCUUUAUUUGACGGUAAUCAACCAGAAAGUCACGGCUAACUACGUGCCAGCAGCCGCGGUAAUACGUAGGUGGCGAGCGUUGUCCGGAUUUAUUGGGCGUAAAGCGAGCGCAGGCGGAAAAAUAAGUCUAAUGUGAAAGCCCUCGGCUUAACCGAGGAACUGCAUCGGAAACUGUUUUUCUUGAGUGCAGAAGAGGAGAGUGGAACUCCAUGUGUAGCGGUGGAAUGCGUAGAUAUAUGGAAGAACACCAGUGGCGAAGGCGGCUCUCUGGUCUGCAACUGACGCUGAGGCUCGAAAGCAUGGGUAGCGAACAGGAUUAGAUACCCUGGUAGUCCAUGCCGUAAACGAUGAGUGCUGAGUGU
Molecule: ribosomal RNA, 743 nt
Filed under: uncultured bacterium
Lineage: Bacteria
Description: bacterial SSU rRNA
Rfam family: Bacterial small subunit ribosomal RNA
Source: RNAcentral